CUGAAGUCUUCAUACAGACACACAUCAGUGUGACACAGCAUCACACACAAGCUAACGUAAUAAUAUUUAGUUAUAAAAAUAAAAAGUACUUGUUCAGUACAGCUCUGUCAGAAACACAUUUAGUGUAGAUCUGUGUGUAAAUUAAUGUCUUGUCGUGAACACAGAAGGCAAUAAAGUCUCGUCGAACUCCAGCCGCUGGAUCACAGGAUCAGGAAUCUCAGAAUGCAGCAGCUUCUGAUGAACCUCCAGCCGCUGGAUCAAACCAGAACCAGAACACAGAAUCACUGGAGAUGAAUCCUCUACUGAAUCAACAAAACCAAGAGACUCAGCUGGAUUCAGUGGUUUCACAAACAUGAUCAACAAUCAGACAAAAACACUCCUGAAACAGUGAUUUAAGAGUUUAGUCUCGUUCUUCAUUUGUUAUUGAGGAGGUUUUUUAUAAUGUAUGUUUUGUAAAUAUCUGUAAAUAUAUACAGGAUGUUUAACUGUCACUGCACUUUGUAUUCAUAUAUUGUGAUUUGUUUUAUAAUAAUUCUAGCUGUAAACCAACUUCAACAGUAAACUGAGACUCUUCAAGAUCAGCAGAGAGAGAAAUCAGUGUUAUAAUUUGUGAGGUUUGGUCUCAGUUCAGGAUCAUGACGUCAGUAAAUGUUCAGUUCAGGGUCUCUUACACCCUUCAGAAACACUGAGACUGAAUAUUCACACCUUCAGAUGGAAAAUCAGAUCCUUCAUCAUGAUCGCAGCCGUUUGUAUUUCUACAAUGUUUGAAUUAUUAAAUAUUGCUUAUAAUAUGUUAGCUGCUGAUUCUGUCAUUAUCAGUCCGUUCAGACACUCAACAGCCACAAACACAAGUGAACUUCAGUAAAUCUCAAUCCAUCACUUCUACUAGACAUGAAGAUGAUAUUAAUGCUCAUAAUAAUACAGCUGAAAUCAUCCUGACAGAGCCGACAGCACCUGUACACACAACACAGACAUUAAUGCUCAUUAGACAGAUGAAAAACAAUCAUUUAAUACUGUAUGACAAGUUAGAUCAGAACAUCAUUUCUGGAGUUCAAACAUGAAAUACAGCAUUUGCCUUCCUGAAUGUCUUCAGUACAGCAGUCAGAAAACCAUCAGCAGAAGUCCAGAUCAUUCCCUAUGAGCAAAGAUUAAAGAGGAGGAACAACUGUUUCUCCUCAUGAAUAUGGUUCAGUCAUAUCAAAACUUGAUGGAGUUGUUGUUACCUUCCUUCCUCUAUAUCUGCCAUUUCUUCCUCCAAGUUUCCAGCCCAGAAUGAGUCCAAACACAGAAGCUCAUGAUCAGCCAUUCUCCUCCAUAAUACUGAGUCUGGGAAGCAGAUCAAGAAGUUAAUACAUUUAUAACUCUUAAUUCUUCUCUAAUUUCUAAAUUGCGAUCAAACAUGUUGGAUUCUUUAUAUAGAAGACAAAAUGAGAGAUUUUGCUAAAUGUCCAACUAUUGUUUGUAUUUAUAGUCUGUAUUGUUCUUCUUGUCUUUGUAUUGUGUAACAUUGUGCUUUAUUUCAUAUGUUGUAAAUGUAUGUAAAUAAUGUUUGUAAAUGGCAAUAAAACUAACUUUGACUGCU
Molecule: long non-coding RNA, 1582 nt
Organism: Megalobrama amblycephala (Wuchang bream)
Lineage: Eukaryota; Metazoa; Chordata; Actinopteri; Cypriniformes; Xenocyprididae
Exons: 2
Source: RefSeq, a predicted model, not a curated record